Molecule: ribosomal RNA, 254 nt
Filed under: uncultured bacterium
Lineage: Bacteria
Description: partial 16S ribosomal RNA
Rfam family: Bacterial small subunit ribosomal RNA
Source: RNAcentral
UACAGAGGGUGCAAGCGUUGUUCGGAAUUAUUGGGCGUAAAGCGCGUGUAGGCGGCUUUGCAAGUCGGGUGUGAAAGCCCUCGGCUCAACCGAGGAACUGCCUGUCAGACUGGAUGGCUUGAGACCGGGAGAGGUGAGUGGAAUUCCCAGUGUAGCGGUGAAAUGCGUAGAUAUUGGGAGGAACACCAGUGGCGAAGGCGACGUCCUGGACCGGCAUUGACGCUGAGGCGCGAAAGCCAGGGGAGCAAAGCGGG